Molecule: ribosomal RNA, 492 nt
Filed under: uncultured bacterium
Lineage: Bacteria
Description: partial 16S ribosomal RNA
Rfam family: Bacterial small subunit ribosomal RNA
Source: RNAcentral
AGUGAACGCUGGCGGUAGGCCUAACACAUGCAAGUCGAACGGCAGCACAGUAAGAGCUUGCUCUUACGGGUGGCGAGUGGCGGACGGGUGAGGAAUACAUCGGAAUCUACUUUUUCGUGGGGGAUAACGUAGGGAAACUUACGCUAAUACCGCAUACGACCUACGGGUGAAAGCAGGGGAUCUUCGGACCUUGCGCGAUUGAAUGAGCCGAUGUCGGAUUAGCUAGUUGGCGGGGUAAAGGCCCACCAAGGCGACGAUCCGUAGCUGGUCUGAGAGGAUGAUUAGCCACACUGGAACUGAGACACGGUCCAGACUCCUACGGGAGGCAGCAGUGGGGAAUAUUGGACAAUGGGCGCAAGCCUGAUCCAGCCAUACCGCGUGGGUGAAGAAGGCCCUCGGGUUGUAAAGCCCUUUUGUUGGGAAAGAAAAGCAGCAGGUUAAUACCCCGCUGUUCUGACGGUACCCAAAGAAUAAGCACCGGCUAACUUCGUG